AUUGAACGCUGGCGGCAGGCCUAACACAUGCAAGCCGAACGGCAGCCCAGAAGCGCUUGCUCUUUGGGUGGCGAGUGGCGGACGGGUGAGUAACGUCUGGGCAACUGCCCGAUGGAGGGGGACAACUACUGGAAAUGGUAGCUAAUACCGCAUAACGUCGCGAGACCAAAGGGGGGCACCUGCCGGCCUCACACCAGCGGACGCGCCCAGAUGGGAUUAGCUAGUAGGUGGGGUAAUGGCUCACCUAGGCGACGAUCCCUAGCUGGUCUGAGAGGAUGACCAGCCACACUGGAACUGAGACACGGUCCAGACUCCUACGGGAGGCAGCAGUGGGGAAUAUUGCACAAUGGGCGCAAGCCUGAUGCAGCCAUGCCGCGUGUAUGAAGAAGGCCUUCGGGUUGUAAAGUACUUUCAGCGGGGAGGAAGGCGGUGAGGUUAAUAACCUUGCCGAUUGACGUUACCCGCAGAAGAAGCACCGGCUAACUCCGUGCCAGCAGCCGCGGUAA
This 506-nucleotide ribosomal RNA is filed under the name uncultured bacterium. RNAcentral describes it as "partial 16S ribosomal RNA". It matches the Rfam family "Bacterial small subunit ribosomal RNA", at positions 29 to 523 of the family's 1533-position model. The record is from RNAcentral.